This 803-nucleotide ribosomal RNA is filed under the name uncultured bacterium. Its description in RNAcentral is "bacterial SSU rRNA". It matches the Rfam family "Bacterial small subunit ribosomal RNA", at positions 66 to 867 of the family's 1533-position model. The record is from RNAcentral.
GGGAGAAGUUUGGUGCUUGCACUAAACGGAAACCGGCGAACGGGUGCGUAACACGUAUGCAACCUACCUUAUACAGGGGCAUAGCUCGAAGAAAUUCGAAUUAAUUCCCCAUAGUACUAUUAAAUCGCAUGGUUUGAUAGUUAAAGCUCCGGCGGUAUAAGAUGGGCAUGCGUCCCAUUAGUUAGUUGGUGAGGUAACGGCUCACCAAGGCAACGAUGGGUAGGGGGUCUGAGAGGAUGAUCCCCCACACUGGUACUGAGAUACGGACCAGACUCCUACGGGAGGCAGCAGUAGGGAAUAUUGGGCAAUGGAGGCAACUCUGACCCAGCCAUGCCGCGUGCAGGAUGAAGGCCCUCCGGGUCGUAAACUGCUUUUAUAUGGGAAGAAACCCUCCUACGUGUAGGAGGCUGACGGUACCAUACGAAUAAGGAUCGGCUAACUCCGUGCCAGCAGCCGCGGUAAUACGGAGGAUCCAAGCGUUGUCCGGAUUCAUUGGGUUUAAAGGGUACGUAGGCGGGUUAUUAAGUCAGUGGUGAAAGCCUACAGCUUAACUGUAGAACUGCCAUUGAAACUGGUAACCUUGAGUUUGGACGAGGUGGAUGGAAUGUAUCAUGUAGCGGUGAAAUGCUUAGAUAUGAUACAGAACACCGAUUGCGAAGGCAGUCCACUAGACCAAUACUGACGCUGAGGUACGAAAGCAUGGGGAGCGAACAGGAUUAGAUACCUUGGUAGUCCAUGCUGUAAACGAUGAACACUCGCUGUUGGCGAUAUACUGUCAGCGGCUAAGCGAAAGCGUUAAGUGU